Patiria miniata (bat star) is the source of this 171-nucleotide long non-coding RNA. RefSeq lists it as uncharacterized. NCBI's taxonomy places the organism in Eukaryota, Metazoa, Echinodermata, Asteroidea, Valvatida, Asterinidae. The record is from RefSeq and is a predicted model, not a curated record. The transcript has 2 exons.
GCUUUAGAUCACUUUUGUGGAUUGUUCACUUGACGUGAACUGCACGUUGUUAAUUCACAGCUCCCAAACCAUGCGGUCGCGGCAAGGCCUAGGCUAGGCAGUGCCUGCCCGAUCUUUACAGGUGGCCCCACCUGGGCCGAUUCAGUUUGAAUAAACAAUCAGAGCAAGGGA